UGAACUCAGCACAUUGGGCAUCUAACCGUUCAGGACAUAUUUUUUCUGCAGCAAAAUGACAGAUGAGCUUUCCUGAUCGCAUUUUGAAGUUUUGCAAAAACAAUGCAAAAGUGUAACAGCCAUCUGCUGAGAAUAACGAGCUUUCCCACUGCUCUAUGGGCUAAUACUAACCUGUUACUUGUUCAUUUUCCUCUGAAAUGUUGUUUGUCACAUCCGUCUGUGCCGAGUCUAUAUUCCACCAUGGUAAAGUACCCAAAACAUCAUCAGUUGAUGAUACAGUAAUGCCUCCGUUCAUGAAUGGCUCUGUUCACAAAGAAUUUGGUUCUCAAAAGCUAAAUUUGAUAAAAUUUUGUUGCCAGUCACAGCAUCAGGCAAAAACAAAAUUGCAACCAUCUUCCCCACACAAACUCAAAAGCAGCUAUCUUCCCCAACAUUAUAAAACAAAUUAAGGUGAUGAACCGAGGUACCACUGCACUGUAUAUUAAUAAUCCUACUGGGCCACUGUGGAAAUGGCUGUCCUGUCAAAAUUCCUCCACCUCCUCAUUGGCCAGUUCCUCCUAAUUCCCCGGGGUCUGGCUUAAUUCCACAGAGCUUUCCGGAAGCUUCUCUCAAACAGCUCAUAAACACACUUCCCGUUGUAAAUCCCAGCGCCCAGGCUCCCUCUUUUUCCCAGGGCCUCUCUUCAGUUCAGGCAGGCGCAGUGCCACUGAGCCAAAUCCUGGGCCCAAGGAACAAGCGGUAUCAAGGAUGCAGUGAAUUUCUCUUGCGUACCCAGGGACUGCUGGGUCACAUGCAUGUGAUCAGUAGUUUGGCUUACUAUUGGUCGAUAGCGAUAAAGCCCGCCCUACUACUUCCGUUAUGCUCCUUUAAGUACAAUCUCCACGGGCCACCUGCCUUUUCGGCGACCGCGGUACGGGAUCGACCCAGCCCUGCCGAGGAUGUCGGAUCGCAUCGUCUCGUGUGUUUCAGCGCCUUCUCCCCACCCCAAAGCCCCCCAAUAAAAUGAUUUGGCCCCCA
This is a long non-coding RNA of Fukomys damarensis (Damara mole-rat), 1017 nucleotides long. RefSeq lists it as uncharacterized. NCBI's taxonomy places the organism in Eukaryota, Metazoa, Chordata, Mammalia, Rodentia, Bathyergidae. The record is from RefSeq and is a predicted model, not a curated record. The transcript is spliced from 4 exons.